UCGGAGCCGACCUCGGCAAUGGCCUCUUUCAGUUUCAGUUUCAGUUUUGCUUGAGUGGUUAAGCUCUUAUAAUCAGUCACUAGUCUCCCCUCAUGGACAUGGAGGGGGUGGACUAGCUCUCUACUGGAAAAAGGAUUGGAAUGUGAUCAUACUCUCCUCUUGUAACAACUAUUUGGAUGUAAGCAUCACAAUAAAGAAUAAAUCUUUUUUUGCUACUUUUGUCUAUGGGGAACCUGAUCAAAGUAAAAGAUGCAUUGUUUGGGAGUCUCUCAAAGUUAUUGCAGAAUAAAGAGCGGCACCUUGGUUUCUCUCUGGUGACUUCAACGAUAUCCUUAGCAAUAUGAUAAGUGUGUAUUUUGCAUGUUUUGAGCAUCCAUUUGUAAUCACUUUAGCAUCAUAUCAUCACUGUUUUAUACCAUUUCUCAUCAUUUGUCAUCACUUUACAUGUUUAGGAUAGAUUUGCAUGU
Molecule: small RNA, 467 nt
Filed under: Arabidopsis thaliana (thale cress)
Lineage: Eukaryota; Viridiplantae; Streptophyta; Magnoliopsida; Brassicales; Brassicaceae
Description: ATSL092540
Source: RNAcentral